This 1218-nucleotide ribosomal RNA is filed under the name Listeria monocytogenes. Its description in RNAcentral is "bacterial LSU rRNA". It matches the Rfam family "Bacterial large subunit ribosomal RNA", at positions 1 to 1212 of the family's 2925-position model. The record is from RNAcentral. Lineage: Bacteria; Bacillati; Bacillota; Bacilli; Caryophanales; Listeriaceae.
UUGGUUAAGUUAGAAAGGGCGCACGGUGGAUGCCUUGGCACUAGGAGCCGAAGAAGGACGGGACUAACACCGAUAUGCUUUGGGGAGCUGUACGUAAGCGUUGAUCCAGAGAUUUCCGAAUGGGGGAACCCACUAUCUUUAGUCGGAUAGUAUCCUUACGUGAAUACAUAGCGUGAGGAAGGCAGACCCAGGGAACUGAAACAUCUAAGUACCUGGAGGAAGAGAAAGAAAAAUCGAUUUCCUGAGUAGCGGCGAGCGAAACGGAAAGAGCCCAAACCAAGAAGCUUGCUUCUUGGGGUUGUAGGACACUCUAUACGGAGUUACAAAAGAAAGUUAUAAAUGAAGCGGUCUGGAAAGGCCCGCCAAAGACGGUAACAGCCCGGUAGUUGAAAUGGCUUUCCCUCCAGAGUGGAUCCUGAGUACGGCGGAACACGUGAAAUUCCGUCGGAAUCCGGGAGGACCAUCUCCCAAGGCUAAAGACUCCCUAGUGACCGAUAGUGAACCAGUACCGUGAGGGAAAGGUGAAAAGCACCCCGGAAGGGGAGUGAAACAGUUCCUGAAACCGUGUGCCUACAAGUAGUUAGAGCCCGUUAAUGGGUGAUAGCGUGCCUUUUGUAGAAUGAACCGGCGAGUUACGAUUUGUUGCAAGGUUAAGCGGAAAAAGCGGAGCCGUAGCGAAAGCGAGUCUGAAUAGGGCGCAUAAGUAACAGGUCGUAGACCCGAAACCAGGUGAUCUACCCAUGUCCAGGAUGAAGGUAAGGUAAUACUUACUGGAGGUCCGAACCCACGCACGUUGAAAAGUGCGGGGAUGAGGUGUGGGUAGCGGAGAAAUUCCAAUCGAACUUGGAGAUAGCUGGUUCUCUCCGAAAUAGCUUUAGGGCUAGCCUCGAGGUAAAGAGUCAUGGAGGUAGAGCACUGUUUGGACUAGGGGCCCUUCUCGGGUUACCGAAUUCAGAUAAACUCCGAAUGCCAUGUACUUAUACUCGGGAGUCAGACUGCGAGUGAUAAGAUCCGUAGUCGAAAGGGAAACAGCCCAGACCACCAGUUAAGGUCCCCAAAUAUAUGUUAAGUGGAAAAGGAUGUGGGGUUGCUUAGACAACCAGGAUGUUGGCUUAGAAGCAGCCACCAUUGAAAGAGUGCGUAAUAGCUCACUGGUCGAGUGACCCCGCGCCGAAAAUGUACCGGGGCUAAACAUAUUACCGAAACUGUGGAUGAACC